UACAGAGGGUGCGAGCGUUAAUCGGAAUUACUGGGCGUAAAGUGUGCGCAGGCGGCGCCGCAUGUCGAGUGUGAAAGCCCCGAGCUUAACUUGGGAAUUGCGCUCGAAACUACGGUGCUGGAGUGUGGCAGAGGAAGGUGGAAUUCCACGUGUAGCGGUGAAAUGCGUAGAGAUGUGGAGGAACACCGAUGGCGAAGGCAGCCUUCUGGGCCAACACUGACGCUCAUGCACGAAAGCGUGGGGAGCAAACAGG
RNAcentral lists this ribosomal RNA (253 nucleotides) under uncultured bacterium. RNAcentral describes it as "partial 16S ribosomal RNA". It matches the Rfam family "Bacterial small subunit ribosomal RNA", at positions 524 to 776 of the family's 1533-position model. The record is from RNAcentral.